RNAcentral lists this ribosomal RNA (253 nucleotides) under uncultured bacterium. RNAcentral's name for it is "partial 16S ribosomal RNA". It matches the Rfam family "Bacterial small subunit ribosomal RNA", at positions 524 to 776 of the family's 1533-position model. The record is from RNAcentral.
UACGUAGGGUGCAAGCGUUGUCCGGAAUUAUUGGGCGUAAAGAGCUCGUAGGCGGUUUGUCGCGUCGGCUGUGAAAUCCCGAGGCUCAACCUCGGGCCUGCAGUCGAUACGGGCAAACUAGAGUGUGGUAGGGGAGACUGGAAUUCCUGGUGUAGCGGUGAAAUGCGCAGAUAUCAGGAGGAACACCGGUGGCGAAGGCGGGUCUCUGGGCCAUAACUGACGCUGAGGAGCGAAAGCGUGGGGAGCGAACAGG